This 253-nucleotide ribosomal RNA is filed under the name uncultured bacterium. RNAcentral's name for it is "partial 16S ribosomal RNA". It matches the Rfam family "Bacterial small subunit ribosomal RNA", at positions 524 to 776 of the family's 1533-position model. The record is from RNAcentral.
GACAGAGGGUGCUAGCGUUGUUCGGAAUGACUGGGCGUAAAGGGCGCGUAGGCGGCUUUUUAAGUCAGGCGUGAAAUCCCCGGGCUCAACCCGGGAAUAGCGUUUGAAACUGGAAAGCUUGAGAGCGGAAGAGGAAAGUGGAAUUCCUAGUGUAGAAGUGAAAUUCGUAGAUAUUAGGAGGAACACCAGAGGCGAAGGCGACUUUCUGGUCCGCCACUGACGCUGAGGCGCGAAAGCGUGGGGAGCAAACAGG